RNAcentral lists this long non-coding RNA (1290 nucleotides) under Monodelphis domestica (gray short-tailed opossum). RNAcentral's name for it is "lncRNA (ENSMODG00000048741.1)". The record is from RNAcentral. Lineage: Eukaryota; Metazoa; Chordata; Mammalia; Didelphimorphia; Didelphidae.
UCAGGGAAACUAAUGUAAAAUGCAGGCUAACUAGCUAAUAUUCUCUACUGUGGUUCCAUGAAUGGUGCAUCACUUUUGUAAACCAUGAAGAAUUAAAUCAAUAUGAAAUAUUAUUAUUUAGUUAGGUAUGUAUCUGUUUAGUUAUGUUAACUGACUUAAUGUUUUCUACUACUAUCCCAGGAAUCUCCUUGAAUACACUAGGUCUCUCUCUUUCUUUCUUUCUUUCUCUUUCUUUCUUUCUUUCUUUUCUUUCUUUCUCUUUCUUUCUUUCUUUCUUUUCUUUCUUUCUUUCUUUCUUUCUUUCUUUCUUUCUUUCUUUCUUUCUUUCUUUCUUUCUUUCUUUCUUUCUUUCUUUCUUUCUUUCUUUCUUUCUUUCUUUCUUCCUUCCUUCCUUCCUUCCUUCCUUCCUUUUCCCCUUUGAUCCUUAAUUUUACUUCAUUUCCCCUUCUGGACAAAGUCAGAUCUUCACCCUGCUGCCAUAUAGCAGGUUUUUAAUAUUGAGACUCCAGCCCAGUUCUUAAUGCUAUACAGUUCCCUUCGGUNUUGCCUUACAUUCCUUCUAUCCUAAGUAUUCUCUUUUAGGAACCCCUUGCUCCUUUCAAGGGUUAGCUCAAUUCCUACUAGAGUCUCCCAUUUAUCUUUAUUUUGCAUACAUUUUAUAUUUACUUAUCUCUGUGUGUCUCUCCAGCAAAGUAUAUGUUCCUGGAGAAGAGGAAAUGCCUCAUUUUGCAUUUGAAAGAGAUUCCUUGACAGUAGAUCUAGAGUCAGGACUUGAAUCUAUAUCUCUUUUUAGUGCUGAUGCUGUUCUUUAAACCACUCUGCCUGGUAGCUUUAAGAAACUUUCUCUUAUUUCUUAUAUAUGUUUAUGUUUAUAAUUAAUUUAUCUUAUAUUUAUUAAAAUAACUACAUGUAAUUAAGUACUUUGUUGAAUUUCCUAGAAAAUAACAUAUUCUGUGGAGGAAAAUUAAUUCUAUGAUACUUGAAAUGGGCAAAUCUUGAUACUGUACUUUUUAGUUGAAUAGUCAUUCUAGCCUUCUUUUAACCUUGUGUGCUCAUUUUCAAUGCUUAAAGACCCACUUGUUUAAACCAAUCUUGAAAGCACAUUAGUGAUAUGUGGGUGAAUGUAGGGAAGGCCUACAGAGACCAAACGAAAAUGUACCUUGAUGGUUUCUAUAUACUGUAGAACAAAUCAGUUACUUGUUAAUGACCAGUUUAAGACACUUCAUUGCCCAGGUUCAUUAUUACUUGAUUGGUAAUAAAUGACAAACAGGCCAUUAAUGUUGUUAUAAA